Molecule: ribosomal RNA, 449 nt
Filed under: uncultured bacterium
Lineage: Bacteria
Description: partial 16S ribosomal RNA
Rfam family: Bacterial small subunit ribosomal RNA
Source: RNAcentral
AGCGAACGCUGGCGGCAUGCCUAACACAUGCAAGUCGAACGAAGGCUUCGGCCUUAGUGGCGCACGGGUGCGUAACGCGUGGGAAUCUGCCCCUCGGUUCGGAAUAACAGUUAGAAAUGACUGCUAAUACCGGAUGAUGACUUCGGUCCAAAGAUUUAUCGCCGAGGGAUGAGCCCGCGUAAGAUUAGGUAGUUGGUGGGGUAAAGGCCUACCAAGCCGACGAUCUUUAGCUGGUCUGAGAGGAUGAUCAGCCACAAUGGGACUGAGACACGGCCCAGACUCCUACGGGAGGCAGCAGUGGGGAAUAUUGGACAAUGGGCGAAAGCCUGAUCCAGCAAUGCCGCGUGAGUGAUGAAGGCCUUAGGGUUGUAAAGCUCUUUUACCAGGGAUGAUAAUGACAGUACCUGGAGAAUAAGCUCCGGCUAACUCCGUGCCAGCAGCCGCCGUAA